AUGAAACACUCCUACGGGAGGCAGCAGUGGGGAAUCUUGCGCAAUGGGCGAAAGCCUGACGCAGCCAUGCCGCGUGAAUGAUGAAGGUCUUAGGAUUGUAAAAUUCUUUCACCGGGGACGAUAAUGACGGUACCCGGAGAAGAAGCCCCGGCUAACUUCGUGCCAGCAGCCGCGGUAAUACGAAGGGGGGUAGCGUUGCUCGGAAUUACUGGGCGUAAAGGGAGCGUAGGCGGACUGUUAAGUUAGAGGUGAAAGCCCAGGGCUCAACCUUGGAAUUGCCUUUGAUACUGGCAGUCUUGAGUACGGAAGAGGUAUGUGGAACUCCGAGUGUAGAGGUGAAAUUCGUAGAUAUUUGGAAGAACACCAGUGGCGAAGGCGACAUACUGGUCCGUUACUGACGCUGAGGCUCGAAAGCGUGGGGAGCAAACAGGAUUAGAAACCCUUGUAGUCCGAAGUUC
This 458-nucleotide ribosomal RNA is filed under the name uncultured bacterium. RNAcentral describes it as "bacterial SSU rRNA". It matches the Rfam family "Bacterial small subunit ribosomal RNA", at positions 328 to 802 of the family's 1533-position model. The record is from RNAcentral.